Molecule: ribosomal RNA, 919 nt
Filed under: Cellulomonas sp. Bis 6
Lineage: Bacteria; Bacillati; Actinomycetota; Actinomycetes; Micrococcales; Cellulomonadaceae
Description: bacterial SSU rRNA
Rfam family: Bacterial small subunit ribosomal RNA
Source: RNAcentral
AGGGCGCAAGCGUGUCCGGAAUUAUUGGGCGUAAAGAGCUCGUAGGCGGUUUGUCGCGUCUGCUGUGAAACCUGAGGCUCAACCUCGGGCUUGCAGUGGGUACGGGCAGACUAGAGUGCGGUAGGGGUGACUGGAAUUCCUGGUGUAGCGGUGGAAUGCGCAGAUAUCAGGAGGAACACCGAUGGCGAAGGCAGGUCACUGGGCCGCAACUGACGCUGAGGAGCGAAAGCAUGGGGAGCGAACAGGAUUAGAUACCCUGGUAGUCCAUGCCGUAAACGUUGGGCACUAGGUGUGGGGCUCAUUCCACGAGUUCCGUGCCGCAGCAAACGCAUUAAGUGCCCCGCCUGGGGAGUACGGCCGCAAGGCUAAAACUCAAAGAAAUUGACGGGGGCCCGCACAAGCGGCGGAGCAUGCGGAUUAAUUCGAUGCAACGCGAAGAACCUUACCAAGGCUUGACAUACACCGGAAAAGUGCAGAGAUGUGCUCCCCGCAAGGUCGGUGUACAGGUGGUGCAUGGUUGUCGUCAGCUCGUGUCGUGAGAUGUUGGGUUAAGUCCCGCAACGAGCGCAACCCUCGUCCUAUGUUGCCAGCGGGUUAUGCCGGGGACUCAUAGGAGACUGCCGGGGUCAACUCGGAGGAAGGUGGGGAUGACGUCAAAUCAUCAUGCCCCUUAUGUCUUGGGCUUCACGCAUGCUACAAUGGCCGGUACAAAGGGCUGCGAUACCGCGAGGUGGAGCGAAUCCCAAAAAGCCGGUCUCAGUUCGGAUUGGGGUCUGCAACUCGACCCCAUGAAGUCGGAGUCGCUAGUAAUCGCAGAUCAGCAACGCUGCGGUGAAUACGUUCCCGGGCCUUGUACACACCGCCCGUCAAGUCACGAAAGUCGGUAACACCCGAAGCCGGUGGCCCAACCCUUACGGGA